GCUGAAGAACGUAGCGAAAUGCGAUAAGUAGUGUGAAUUGCAGAAUUCAGUGAAUCAUCGAAUCUUUGAACGCACAUUGCGCCCUUUGGUAUUCCAAAGGGCAUGCCUGUUCGAGCGUCAUUUGUACCCUCACGCUUUGCUUGGUGUUGGGCGUCUUGUCUCUAGCUUUGCUGGAGACUCGCCUUAAAGUAAUUGGCAGCCGGCCUACUGGUUUCGGAGCGCAGCACAAGUCGCACUCUCUAUCAGCAAAGGUCUAGCAUCCACUAAGCCUUUUUUUCAACUUUUGACCUCGGAUCAGGUAGGGAUACCCGCUGAACUUAAGCAUAUCAAUAAGCGGAGGA
RNAcentral lists this unclassified non-coding RNA (341 nucleotides) under soil metagenome. RNAcentral describes it as "partial contains 5.8S ribosomal RNA, internal transcribed spacer 2, and large subunit ribosomal RNA". The stretch from base 3 to 120 matches the Rfam family "5.8S ribosomal RNA", at positions 37 to 154 of the family's 154-position model. The record is from RNAcentral.